RNAcentral lists this ribosomal RNA (500 nucleotides) under uncultured bacterium. Its description in RNAcentral is "partial 16S ribosomal RNA". It matches the Rfam family "Bacterial small subunit ribosomal RNA", at positions 30 to 523 of the family's 1533-position model. The record is from RNAcentral.
AUUGAACGCUGGCGGCAUGCCUUACACAUGCAAGUCGAACGGCAGCACGGGAGCAAUCCUGGUGGCGAGUGGCGAACGGGUGAGUAAAGUUUCGGAACGUGCCCAGUCGUGGGGGAUAACGUAGCGAAAGUUACGCUAAUACCGCAUACGAUCUAUGGAUGAAAGCGGGGGAUCGCAAGACCUCGCGCGAUUGGAGCGGCCGAUAUCAGAUUAGGUAGUUGGUGGGGUAAAGGCUCACCAAGCCGACGAUCUGUAGCUGGUCUGAGAGGACGACCAGCCACACUGGGACUGAGACACGGCCCAGACUCCUACGGGAGGCAGCAGUGGGGAAUUUUGGACAAUGGGCGAAAGCCUGAUCCAGCCAUGCCGCGUGCAGGAUGAAGGCCUUCGGGUUGUAAACUGCUUUUGUACGGAACGAAAAGGUUUGGCCUAAUAAGCUGAGCUCAUGACGGUACCGUAAGAAUAAGUACCGGCUAACUACGUGCCAGCCGCCGCGGUAA